RNAcentral lists this ribosomal RNA (485 nucleotides) under Vibrio parahaemolyticus. Its description in RNAcentral is "bacterial SSU rRNA". It matches the Rfam family "Bacterial small subunit ribosomal RNA", at positions 1 to 469 of the family's 1533-position model. The record is from RNAcentral. Lineage: Bacteria; Pseudomonadati; Pseudomonadota; Gammaproteobacteria; Vibrionales; Vibrionaceae.
AAAUUGAAGAGUUUGAUCAUGGCUCAGAUUGAACGCUGGCGGCAGGCCUAACACAUGCAAGUCGAGCGGAAACGAGUUAUCAGAACCUUCGGGGAACGAUAACGGCGUCGAGCGGCGGACGGGUGAGUAAUGCCUAGGAAAUUGCCCUGAUGUGGGGGAUAACCAUUGGAAACGAUGGCUAAUACCGCAUGAUGCCUACGGGCCAAAGAGGGGGACCUUCGGGCCUCUCGCGUCAGGAUAUGCCUAGGUGGGAUUAGCUAGUUGGUGAGGUAAGGGCUCACCAAGGCGACGAUCCCUAGCUGGUCUGAGAGGAUGAUCAGCCACACUGGAACUGAGACACGGUCCAGACUCCUACGGGAGGCAGCAGUGGGGAAUAUUGCACAAUGGGCGCAAGCCUGAUGCAGCCAUGCCGCGUGUGUGAAGAAGGCCUUCGGGUUGUAAAGCACUUUCAGUCGUGAGGAAGGUGGUAGUGUUAAUAGCACUAU